Molecule: ribosomal RNA, 492 nt
Filed under: uncultured bacterium
Lineage: Bacteria
Description: partial 16S ribosomal RNA
Rfam family: Bacterial small subunit ribosomal RNA
Source: RNAcentral
AGUGAACGCUGGCGGUAGGCCUAACACAUGCAAGUCGAACGGCAGCACAGUAAGAGCUUGCUCUUACGGGUGGCGAGUGGCGGACGGGUGAGGAAUACAUCGGAAUCUACUUUUUCGUGGGGGAUAACGUAGGGAAACUUACGCUAAUACCGCAUACGACCUACGGGUGAAAGCAGGGGAUCUUCGGACCUUGCGCGAUUGAAUGAGCCGAUGUCGGAUUAGCUAGUUGGCGGGGUAAAGGCCCACCAAGGCGACGAUCCGUAGCUGGUCUGAGAGGAUGAUCAGCCACACUGGAACUGGGACACGGUCCAGACUCCUACGGGAGGCAGCAGUGGGGAAUAUUGGACAAUGGGCGCAAGCCUGAUCCAGCCAUACCGCGUGGGUGAAGAAGGCCUUCGGGUUGUAAAGCCCUUCUGUUGGGAAAGAAAAGCAGCAGGUUAAUACCCCGCUGUUCUGACGGUACCCAAAGAAUAAGCACCGGCUAACUUCGUG